UGCACGCCUGUAAUCCCAGCUACUCAGGAGGCUGAGGCGGGAGAAUCCCUUGAACCCAGGAGGCGGAGGUUGCGGUGAGCCGAGGUCGAGCCACUGCACUCCAGCCUGGGUGACAGAGCUAGACUCUGUCUCAAAACCAAAAAACAAAACAAAACAAAACAAACAAACAAAAAACAUAAAAAAGGCAGGGGAGGGGAAGAUGUCCAGUAUGAAACUGGGGGGGAUGUUAAUGAAUUCUGUUAGAAUGGGGAAUCUGGCAUAGGUAAAAACUUAAACCUAUGCUGUCUAAUACAAUUGUUGCUUGCCACAUGGAGUUAAGUUUAAAUUAUUCAAAUGAAAUGUAACUUAAAAAUUCAGUUCUGUCACAUGAGACACAUUUCAAGUGCUCAAUAGCCACAUGCAGCUAGUGGCUAUUAUAUUGGACCACACAGGUGUAGAAUAUUCUCAUCAUUGCAGAAAAUGCUUUCAGACAGGGCUGACAUAGAAGAUGCAUCAGAGAAGAGGAGGGGGAUAGACGGGUGGGUAGAUGAGAGGGGCACAUAAGGUAAUUGCAACAGAAUGAAUGUUUAUGUCUCCCCCAAAUUCAUAUGUUAAAAUCCUAACCCUUAAUGUGAUGGCAUUAGCAGGUGGGGCCUUGGGGAAGUGAUUAGAUUGUGAGGGUAGAGGCCUCAUGAGUGAGAUUAGUGCCCUUAUAAAAGGGACCCCAGACAGCUCCCUUGUCCCUUUUGCUAUGUGAAGACAUGAUAAGAAAACGGUCCUCUAAGAACGAGGAAGUGGGUGCUCACCAGGCUCUGAUUCUGCCUGGUGCCUUGAUCUGGGAAUUACCAGCCUACAGAUCUGUGAGAAAUAAAUGAUUUUUGUUUAAGCUACCCAGACUAUCGUAUUUUUGUUACAGCAGCCUAAACAGAAAAAAAUAGAAACGUUUACCAGGAAAAGUAUAUGCUAGAUGGAUAAGGGGAAACAAGAGAGACAGGACACACGGACGUGAUCCAGGGAAAGGUCUUGAAUUGGGUUAGAGCUUGGAUUCAAGGCAUUGGCUGGCUGCGAUAAAACCUUUGCGCAUGUUUUUUUAAAUGGUGUUCCUCUGGGCAGAAGCAUCCUGUGGUUUUGGCUAGUAGACAGUUCUUUGUGCAAAGAAAAAAGUGUACUUUCCUCAAAACGAUGGAGAUGGUUAAAAGAUCAGUGGUUGUCAGGGCCUGGAGAAGGCAGGGAAGAAAAGAAGGAUGAACAGAUGGAGCACAGCAGAGUUUUAGCAAUAGCAAUGAAGCUAUUGUAAGAUACUAUAACGGUGCAUAUAUGUCAUCACACGUUUGUCAAAACCCAUAGAAUGCACAACACGAAGAGUAUACAUAGUAUACAUAGUAAUGUAUACCAUGAACUUUGGUUCAUACUAAUCUAUUAAUAUUGAUUCAUCAAUUGCAACAAAUGUACCACACUAACAUAAGAUGUUACUAACAGGGGAGACUGGGAGUGGGGUGGACAGGGUGGGCAGGGGUAUAUGAAGCUCUCUGUACUUUGUGCUCUGGCUUUUUAUAAACCUAAAACUGCUCUAAGAAAUAAGGUCUAGUAAUGAAAAAUAAAAAGGGAAGCUAUUUAACUAUUUCUCAUAAAAUAUUUUCAGGCACUCUAAAAGUCUUCAUGUUCACAUACACAAUGACAUGACAAUAAAACACACUAAUCUGGUUUUAGCUGAUAAUCUAAUGUAGUUAUAUGUGAUUCUAUCAAUAUCUGACAUGGAAAAAAAGCGAAACAAUGUACCUUCCUCUAGGUUUCCACAGAGCAGCUUCAGGCAUUCAUCUUGGUGAGCAGUGUGCAAGCUGGAUUUUCCUAACCACUUGCUCUCUUCCUCAGGUGUCUGUGCGGUAGAGUUUCCAGUUUUUCUGCUCUGUUUUUCCCCCAUCUUUGUGGUUUUAUCUACUUUUGGUCUUUGAUAAUGGUGAUGUACAGAUGGGUUUUUGGUGUGGAUGUCCUUUCUGUUUGUUAGUUUUCCUUCUAACAGACAGGACCCUCAGUUCCAUGAAUGCGGGGCAGGAUGACAGGAUGGAGUCUGGGACUUGCCUACAGUCCACAGAUGGGGGGUUGGGGAUUGAAACAAGACCACAGCUCAACUCACGUGACGGGAAGGGGAGCAUUUACUUGGGCAAUGGGAGUGUCUCAUAUUUGACAUUGCCUUAUAUUAGGGCAUAUACUGUAGAUGCAUAAACAAUGGUUUAGCUCCAUAAAGUCUUCAGACUGCUAUCUUAUUUAUUCUGUUAUUGUAGAGUUCCAUAUUUUAUGAGGACACUGCCUUCCGUAGAUGGCUCUCUGUUCUGAGAGUCUAGCUUAGAGCUAUUUGGAAACAAUCUUAUGAGGAUGAACUAGGGACAAAGAGGUCACCUUAGGCAGGUCUUAAUUUGUAAUUUUAUUCAAGGGAGGAAGUACAUGCUAAGAAAUUGUUGCUGAAAACUGUGUCUAAUUGGUAAUAAUGAGAAAAGGGUGGGAAAGGAUGGAGAGUUUAUUUUCCAGACCAGUAAAUUUGCCUUUCUUUUCUUUCUUAUUUUAUUUUUUAUUUCUCAUUUUUAUUUUUAUUUUUUCCUGCCAUCUCAUGUUGAAUUGUAAUCCUCAAUGUUGGUGGAGGAACCUGGUGGGAGGUGAUUGAAUCAUGGGGGUGGAUUUCUUUCUUGUUGUGCCAGAUAUUUCCUGUACAUUUUCUCCCCCAAUUUCCCCAACUUACACUCCCUGGGUUCAGAUCACAGCUCCAGCACUUGUUAGCGGUGUGGCCUUUUAGGCCAGUUUAACACUCCAUCUGUGCCUCGGUUUCCUCAGGUAUAAAAUGAGAAUAAUGCUAUGUCCUCUUUGUAGUGUGAUGAGGUAUAAA
RNAcentral lists this long non-coding RNA (2857 nucleotides) under Homo sapiens (human). RNAcentral describes it as "non-protein coding LIFR-AS1:7". The record is from RNAcentral. Lineage: Eukaryota; Metazoa; Chordata; Mammalia; Primates; Hominidae.